Non-coding RNA from Neonectria magnoliae, 99 nucleotides. The record is from the annotation of a GenBank genome assembly. NCBI's taxonomy places the organism in Eukaryota, Fungi, Ascomycota, Sordariomycetes, Hypocreales, Nectriaceae.
GGCCUGAUGGUCUAGUGGUAAGAUUGUCGCUUCGGGCAAACAUCCCAGUUCUCCCAGAGAAAAUGUGACAGAUCCCGGGUUCGAUCCCCGGUCAGGCCC